Molecule: ribosomal RNA, 253 nt
Filed under: uncultured bacterium
Lineage: Bacteria
Description: partial 16S ribosomal RNA
Rfam family: Bacterial small subunit ribosomal RNA
Source: RNAcentral
UACGUAGGGGGCAAGCGUUGUCCGGAAUCAUUGGGCGUAAAGCGCGUGUAGGCGGCUCGGUAAGUCCGCUGUGAAAGCCCGGGGCUCAACCCUGGGAUGCCGGUGGAUACUGUCGAGCUCGAGUCCGGAAGAGGCGAGUGGAAUUCCUGGUGUAGCGGUGAAAUGCGCAGAUAUCAGGAGGAACACCAAUGGCGAAGGCAGCUCGCUGGGACGUGACUGACGCUGAGACGCGAAAGCGUGGGGAGCAAACAGG